This 698-nucleotide ribosomal RNA is filed under the name uncultured Staphylococcus sp. RNAcentral describes it as "bacterial SSU rRNA". It matches the Rfam family "Bacterial small subunit ribosomal RNA", at positions 59 to 739 of the family's 1533-position model. Lineage: Bacteria; Bacillati; Bacillota; Bacilli; Caryophanales; Staphylococcaceae. The record is from RNAcentral.
AAGUCGAGCGAACAGACGAGGAGCUUGCUCCUCUGACGUUAGCGGCGGACGGGUGAGUAACACGUGGAUAACCUACCUAUAAGACUGGGAUAACUUCGGGAAACCGGAGCUAAUGCCGGAUAAUAUAUUGAACCGCAUGGUUCAAUAGUGAAAGACGGUUUUGCUGUCACUUAUAGAUGGAUCCGCGCCGCAUUAGCUAGUUGGUAAGGUAACGGCUUACCAAGGCAACGAUGCGUAGCCGACCUGAGAGGGUGAUCGGCCACACUGGAACUGAGACACGGUCCAGACUCCUACGGGAGGCAGCAGUAGGGAAUCUUCCGCAAUGGGCGAAAGCCUGACGGAGCAACGCCGCGUGAGUGAUGAAGGUCUUCGGAUCGUAAAACUCUGUUAUUAGGGAAGAACAAAUGUGUAAGUAACUAUGCACGUCUUGACGGUACCUAAUCAGAAAGCCACGGCUAACUACGUGCCAGCAGCCGCGGUAAUACGUAGGUGGCAAGCGUUAUCCGGAAUUAUUGGGCGUAAAGCGCGCGUAGGCGGUUUUUUAAGUCUGAUGUGAAAGCCCACGGCUCAACCGUGGAGGGUCAUUGGAAACUGGAAAACUUGAGUGCAGAAGAGGAAAGUGGAAUUCCAUGUGUAGCGGUGAAAUGCGCAGAGAUAUGGAGGAACACCAGUGGCGAAGGCGACUUUCUGGUCUGUAA